GCUGGGGUCAGCGUCUGUACGCUAAAGCCAGGGCGCAAAGUGCGUGGGCACUGCGGACACUAGAGGCUUAUGGCGCUGGAAAUACAAGGCCGAGUUGCCGGCGCAAAGAGUUCCCCGGGCGGGUGCCCAACACCUUGAUCAGUGCCUGCUUUGUAGUAGGCAUUCAAAUACUGUGGACUGGAUGAAUGGAGUCACUUCCCUUCCAACCUGCACACCAACGUGGUUGAACUGCCUCCUUUCUAAGUGCCAAAGUCUGUUUUACAAGGCUGCCCUGCUGUGCCCAUCUGGGCACCCAGUCCAGCCUCCCUUCCUGGGCGCCUUGACUCCCAACUGCAGAUGAAGUGUCUGGAAAUCAUGGUACUCAAGGUAGGAUCCACAUUGCCUGCCGGCCUAGGACCAAGAUCUGCAAGUCAGAACGAAACACCAGCUGUCCCUGUCUCCUGCACCCAUCCCCAUCCCGGAUAUCAAAGGAGCAUUACAAAAUAUUGUCUAACAGAAGUACCAGGGCUGGAUCCCAAAGUUUUGUGUAGAUCUUGAUAAAGAGUUUGGAUUUUAUUCUAACAAGAGUGAAGAGCAUGACAAUGUUUGCAGAAGAGUGAUGGCUUCUUUCAGGCAACAGUGACAAUUACACCUCCUCUUUUUCUCUUUGAUCCUCCACCCUCUCCCUCCAGCACCUGGUACAAAGCUGGGUACCCAGCAGACACUCUGUAAAUUAAAGUGCUGCCAGCCUGAACAAUCUCAGUGGAAGAGCUAA
This is a long non-coding RNA of Homo sapiens (human), 754 nucleotides long. Ensembl annotates it as long intergenic non-protein coding RNA 2674. The record is from Ensembl. Lineage: Eukaryota; Metazoa; Chordata; Mammalia; Primates; Hominidae.